UCCGGCUUAUCACCGGCGGUUUCUUUAGAGUGCCCAACUGAAUGCUGGCAACUAAAGACAAGGGUUGCGCUCGUUGCGGGACUUAACCCAACAUGUCACCACACGAGCUGACGACAGCCAUGCAGCACCUGUCUCUCUGUCGUAUUGCUACGAAAGCCGUAUCUCUACGGUUGUCAGAGGAUGUCAAACCCAGGUAAGGUUUUUCGCGUUGCUUCGAAUUAAACCACAUGAUCCGCCGCUUGUGCGGGCCCCCGUCAAUUCCUUUGAGUUUUAGCCUUGCGGCCGUACUCCCCAGGCGGGGCGCUUAAUGCGUUAGCUACGGCACAGAAUCAACCAACGUGACCCCACACCUAGCGCCCACCGUUUACAGCAUGGACUAC
Molecule: unclassified non-coding RNA, 380 nt
Filed under: uncultured bacterium
Lineage: Bacteria
Description: contains 16S-23S intergenic spacer region
Source: RNAcentral